Molecule: ribosomal RNA, 601 nt
Filed under: uncultured bacterium
Lineage: Bacteria
Description: bacterial SSU rRNA
Rfam family: Bacterial small subunit ribosomal RNA (bases 1-538)
Source: RNAcentral
CCUACGGGAGGCAGCAGUGGGGAAUAUUGGACAAUGGGCGAAAGCCUGAUCCAGCAAUUCCGCGUGUGUGAAGAAGGCCUUCGGGUUGUAAAGCACUUUAGUGGGGGAAGAAACAGCUUGGCCACACCAAGCCUUGACGGUACCCCAAGAAUAAGCACCGGCUAACUCUGUGCCAGCAGCCGCGGUAAUACAGAGGGUGCAAGCGUUAAUCGGAUUUACUGGGCGUAAAGGGUGCGUAGGUGGCUAUUUAAGUCGGAUGUGAAAGCCCGGGGCUCAACCUCGGAAUUGCAUUCGAUACUGAGUGGCUAGAGUUCGGUAGAGGGCGGCGGAAUUUCCGGUGUAGCGGUGAAAUGCGUAGAUAUCGGAAGGAACAUCAAUGGCGGAGGCAGCCGCCUGGGCCUGGACUGACACUGAGGCACGAAAGCGUGGGUAGCAAACAGGAUUAGAUACCCUGGUAGUCCACGCCGUAAACGAUGAGAACUUGACGUUGGUUCGUUUUACGAAUCGGUGUCGCAGCUAACGCGAUAAGUUCUCCGCCUGGGGNGACGCGCGAGUAGAANACAAGAAUAGCGNGAGAGNGCGAGACGACGACGAGGAGAGG